AUAUGGAGAAGAAGUGGGAAGAGAUUUACGCGUUUAUUUCUGCGGGCUCCUACCCUUCAGGAUAUGACAAGGCUCAGAGGCAAAACCUCAGAAGAUAUGCCUCAAAAUUCCAACAAAAGGAUGGAGAACUCUUUGUUGGAACUAGAAAAGUAGUAAAAACCAUGGAUGAUGCCAGGAAGAUAUUUCAUGAGUUUCAUUCAUCUCCAAUUGGAGGACACACUGGCAUACACAAAACGCUAAGUGCAGUGUGUUCCAGAUUUUACUGGUUUGGUAUGACAGUUGACAUUAAAACAUGGGUAUGUAUUAACUGUUUGCAUUGUUGUUAAAUGCCGUUUAAAAUAAGAAUUUUUUUUUGAUAUCAGUUAAAAGAGAAACUGUACACUUGCAAAAUAUAAAUAAAUAUGAUUAAUUAGUGAUAUUACAGUAAUAACCUGUAGGCCUGGCAGAGAUUUGAAGACACACACAAAGUUUUGUUGCUAAAUUGUUUGUUCGUUAGAGAAUAUAUCAUUAAUGAUGUUUUUUUGGGUUUUUUUAUAAAUGAGAAUGUUGAACAUUUAUGUGAACUCCAUAAAUAUUUUUACCUUAAAGAUUCUGGAAUGUGACCAGUGUCAAAAAGUUGGGAAACCACUGACUGCUGUGCAACCGUUGCAGUGUAUUCAGGUGUCUGAAGUGUGGGAACUUAUUGGUAUAGAUCUUACUGGACCUCUUCCUAAAACGUCAAGCGGCUUCCAGUAUAUACUGACUGCAACUGACUACUUUUCAAAAUGGGUUGAAGCUUUCCCAUUAAAAACGAAAUCUGCAUCUGAGGUAGCCCAGCACUUGUGCUCCAUUAUAUAUAGACAUGGCUGCCCCAAAAGGAUUUUGUCAGACCAAGGCAGAGAGUUUGUGAAUGAAGUAAGUGUUAAAUAA
RNAcentral lists this long non-coding RNA (909 nucleotides) under Oreochromis niloticus (Nile tilapia). RNAcentral's name for it is "lncRNA (ENSONIG00000025641.2)". Lineage: Eukaryota; Metazoa; Chordata; Actinopteri; Cichliformes; Cichlidae. The record is from RNAcentral.